CUCCUACUUGGAUAACUGUGGUA
This 23-nucleotide non-coding RNA is filed under the name Cricetulus griseus (Chinese hamster). Lineage: Eukaryota; Metazoa; Chordata; Mammalia; Rodentia; Cricetidae. The record is from RNAcentral.